GUCUGACAAAAUGGAGGGAGAAACAACAUAACCUUCAUUUGAUUUUUUUCUCUUAUUUCAGUGCAAGUGAAGCAGAAUGUGUUUGAGAUCACUAUAGUUACUCUGGGUUUUCGUACAUAAAAUGAAGACCAGAAUUCAGCAUGCAAAAAAGAUCCUUUCUGCAUGCGCAUUUGUUCAGAUGGGGUGCAACACCAUUUACUGCUAGACAGAAGGGCUUCAAGCAUUCUCUCAGGUUUGUUCACAUUCAGCACUAUGGAAGACAGAAUAUCCUAAUAAACCCGGGAGGAUUUUGUGUGUGUAAUGCCACUUUCAUUCUAGCUAACGCAGAGGUUGUUUUUACCAUCUCAGCCCAUCAACAGAAUAACAUCAAUGCAAAAUGUAGCACAGUAAAGCAAACUGUAUCACAGAAACAAAA
Molecule: long non-coding RNA, 415 nt
Filed under: Apteryx rowi (Okarito brown kiwi)
Lineage: Eukaryota; Metazoa; Chordata; Aves; Apterygiformes; Apterygidae
Description: lncRNA (ENSARWG00000000010.1)
Source: RNAcentral